CCUACGGGGGACAGCAGUGAGGAAUAUUGGUCAAUGGACGAGAGUCUGAACCAGCCAAGUAGCGUGAAGGAUGACUGCCCUAUGGGUUGUAAACUUCUUUUAUAUGGGAAUAAAACGUUCCACGUGUGGGAUUUUGUAUGUACCAUAUGAAUAAGGAUCGGCUAACUCCGUGCCAGCAGCCGCGGUAAUUCGGAGGAUCCGAGCGUUAUCCGGAUUUAUUGGGUUUAAAGGGAGCGUAGGUGGAUUGUUAAGUCAGUUGUGAAAGUUUGCGGCUCAACCGUAAAAUUGCAGUUGAAACUGGCAGUCUUGAGUACAGUAGAGGUGGGCGGAAUGCGUGGUGUAGCGGUGAAAUGCUUAGAUAUCACGAAGAACUCCGAUUGCGAAGGCAGUUCACUGGACUGCAACUGACACUGAGGCUCGAAAGUGUGGGUAUCAAACAGGAUUAGAUACCCCUGUAGUC
This 460-nucleotide ribosomal RNA is filed under the name uncultured bacterium. RNAcentral's name for it is "partial 16S ribosomal RNA". It matches the Rfam family "Bacterial small subunit ribosomal RNA", at positions 338 to 795 of the family's 1533-position model. The record is from RNAcentral.